AGAUAGAACGCUGGCGGCAGGCCUAACACAUGCAAGUCGAGCGGUAACAGAGAGUAGCUUGCUACUCUGCUGACGAGCGGCGGACGGGUGAGUAAUGCUUAGGAAUUUGCCCAGUCGUGGGGGACAACAGUUGGAAACGACUGCUAAUACCGCAUACGCCCUACGGGGGAAAGCAGGGGACCUUCGGGCCUUGCGCGAUUGGAUAAGCCUAAGUGAGAUUAGCUAGUUGGUACGGUAAUGGCGUACCAAGGCGACGAUCUCUAGCUGGUUUGAGAGGAUGAUCAGCCACACUGGAACUGAGACACGGUCCAGACUCCUACGGGAGGCAGCAGUGGGGAAUAUUGCACAAUGGGCGCAAGCCUGAUGCAGCCAUGCCGCGUGUAUGAAGAAGGCCUUCGGGUUGUAAAGUACUUUCAGCGAGGAGGAAAGGUUGAUGUUUAAUAUGCAUCAGCUGUGACGUUACUCGCAGAAGAAGCACCGGCUAACUCCGUGCCAGCAGCCGCGGUAAUACGGAGGGUGCGAGCGUUUAUCGGAAUUACUGGGCGUAAAGCGCAUGCAGGCGGUCGAAUCAGUCAGAUGUGAAAUCCCCGGGCUCAACCUGGGAAUGGCAUUUGAUACUGUUCGACUAGAGUCCUUGAGAGGGGGGUAGAAUUUCAGGUGUAGCGGUGAAAUGCGUAGAGAUCUGAAGGAAUACCAGUGGCGAAGGCGGCCCCCUGGCAAGAGACUGACGCUCAGAUGCGAAAGCGUGGGGAGCAAACAGGAUUAGAUACCCUGGUAGUCCACGCCGUAAACGAUGUCUAUUAGGAGCUUGUGGCCUUGAGCCGUGGGUUCCAAAGCUAACGCAUUAAAUAGACCGCCUGGGGAGUACGGCCGCAAGGUUA
Molecule: ribosomal RNA, 881 nt
Filed under: uncultured bacterium
Lineage: Bacteria
Description: bacterial SSU rRNA
Rfam family: Bacterial small subunit ribosomal RNA
Source: RNAcentral